GGUCUGAUGGCCGAGUGGCUAGAGCUCGGUAAGGUUUCGGGCUCGAGUCCCGGCGAUGCUAUGGAUGUUUGUAGCGGUUCGGAAUCCACUUUAAACCA
Molecule: non-coding RNA, 98 nt
Organism: Caerostris darwini
Lineage: Eukaryota; Metazoa; Arthropoda; Arachnida; Araneae; Araneidae
Source: the annotation of a GenBank genome assembly